AGCGAACGCUGGCGGCAGGCCUAACACAUGCAAGUCGAACGAACUCUUCGGAGUUAGUGGCGGACGGGUGAGUAACACGUGGGAACGUGCCUUUUGGUUCGGAAUAACUCAGGGAAACUUGUGCUAAUACCGAAUGUGCCCUUCGGGGGAAAGAUUUCUCGCCAUUAGAGCGGCCCGCGUCUGAUUAGCUAGUUGGUGAGGUAACGGCUCACCAAGGCGACGAUCAGUAGCUGGUCUGAGAGGAUGACCAGCCACACUGGGACUGAGACACGGCCCAGACUCCUACGGGAGGCAGCAGUGGGGAAUCUUGCGCAAUGGGCGAAAGCCUGACGCAGCCAGGCCGCGUGAAUGAUGAAGGUCUUAGGAUUGUAAAAUUCUUUCACCGGGGACGAUAAUGACGGUACCCGGAGAAGAAGCCCCGGCUAACUUCGUG
Molecule: ribosomal RNA, 433 nt
Filed under: uncultured bacterium
Lineage: Bacteria
Description: partial 16S ribosomal RNA
Rfam family: Bacterial small subunit ribosomal RNA
Source: RNAcentral